GUACUUGGUGUUACUGCGAAGGGGGGACGGAGAAGGCUAUGUUGGCCGGGCGACGGUUGUCCCGGUUUAAGCGUGUAGGUGUGUGUUCCAGGUAAAUCCGGUUCACUUUAACACUGAGGCGUGACGACGAGGCACUACGGUGCUGAAGCAACAAAUGCCCUGCUUCCAGGAAAAGCCUCUAAGCAUCAGGUAACAUCAAAUCGUACCCCAAACCGACACAGGUGGUCAGGUAGAGAAUACCAAGGCGCUUGAGAGAACUCGGGUGAAGGAACUAGGCAAAAUGGUGCCGUAACUUCGGGAGAAGGCACGCUGACACGUAGGUGAAGUGAUUUACUCAUGGAGCUGAAGUCAGUCGAAGAUACCAGCUGGCUGCAACUGUUUAUUAAAAACACAGCACUGUGCAAACACGAAAGUGGACGUAUACGGUGUGACGCCUGCCCGGUGCCGGAAGGUUAAUUGAUGGGGUCAGCGCAAGCGAAGCUCCUGAUCGAAGCCCCGGUAAACGGCGGCCGUAACUAUAACGGUCCUAAGGUAGCGAAAUUCCUUGUCGGGUAAGUUCCGACCUGCACGAAUGGCGUAAUGAUGGCCAGGCUGUCUCCACCCGAGACUCAGUGAAAUUGAACUCGCUGUGAAGAUGCAGUGUACCCGCGGCAAGACGGAAAGACCCCGUGAACCUUUACUAUAGCUUGACACUGAACAUUGAGCCUUGAUGUGUAGGAUAGGUGGGAGGCUUUGAAGUGUGGACGCCAGUCUGCAUGGAGCCGACCUUGAAAUACCACCCUUUAAUGUUUGAUGUUCUAACGUGGACCCGUGAUCCGGGUUGCGGACAGUGUCUGGUGGGUAGUUUGACUGGGGCGGUCUCCUCCUAAAGAGUAACGGAGGAGCACGAAGGUUGGCUAAUCCUGGUCGGACAUCAGGAGGUUAGUGCAAUGGCAUAAGCCAGCUUGACUGCGAGCGUGACGGCGCGAGCAGGUGCGAAAGCAGGUCAUAGUGAUCCGGUGGUUCUGAAUGGAAGGGCCAUCGCUCAACGGAUAAAAGGUACUCCGGGGAUAACAGGCUGAUACCGCCCAAGAGUUCAUAUCGACGGCGGUGUUUGGCACCUCGAUGUCGGCUCAUCACAUCCUGGGGCUGAAGUAGGUCCCAAGGGUAUGGCUGUUCGCCAUUUAAAGUGGUACGCGAGCUGGGUUUAGAACGUCGUGAGACAGUUCGGUCCCUAUCUGCCGUGGGCGCUGGAGAACUGAGGGGGGCUGCUCCUAGUACGAGAGGACCGGAGUGGACGCAUCACUGGUGUUCGGGUUGUCAUGCCAAUGGCACUGCCCGGUAGCUAAAUGCGGAAGAGAUAAGUGCUGAAAGCAUCUAAGCACGAAACUUGCCCCGAGAUGAGUUCUCCCUGAGACUUAAAGUCUCCUGAAGGAACGUUGAAGACGACGACGUUGAUAGGCCGGGUGUGUAAGCGCAGCGAUGCGUUGAGCUAACCGGUACUAAUGAACCGUGAGGCUUAACCUUACAACGCCGAAG
Molecule: ribosomal RNA, 1518 nt
Filed under: Salmonella enterica
Lineage: Bacteria; Pseudomonadati; Pseudomonadota; Gammaproteobacteria; Enterobacterales; Enterobacteriaceae
Description: bacterial LSU rRNA
Rfam family: Bacterial large subunit ribosomal RNA
Source: RNAcentral